UUUCCGUAGGUGAACCAGCGGAAGGAUCAUUAUCGGAUUUGCAAACUUCAGGCUGCUGCUGACUCUCCUCGGCGGGCAUUUGCACGCUUGUUGUCCAUUAUUUCUCCAACGGUGCACACAUUGUAGACCGUUCAGUACGCCUAUGUUGUUUUUCACAAUCUCUGAAUGUAAUAGAAUGGUCUGGAUUCUUGUGCAAAACCAUAACGAAUCUCGGCAACGGAUAUCUUGGCUCUU
Molecule: unclassified non-coding RNA, 234 nt
Filed under: plant metagenome
Description: partial contains small subunit ribosomal RNA, internal transcribed spacer 1, and 5.8S ribosomal RNA
Source: RNAcentral